AUGCUCCAGAAAGAACUACAAGAUGCUGGUCUUAUUCCUCUUCCGAAGGAGCAGGUGUCAGUGUUUGGAGAGAGUGUCUGGUGGUUCCUUCCACCUCUGAAGCAGGUCUCUCACAAUUGUCGCCUCCCCGGAUGGUUCCUCCAGCUCUGACGUUUGUAGAAUCAAAGCUUUCGCUAUCCAGUCAUCACUCCCCACACGCAGGGAGCACAGAUGUUGUGUGGUUAGGAUCCUGGCCUUUUAUAAUUCCUUGGCAUUAGGAAUGGAUAAAAGGGAAAGCAAAAGUAUCAUGGGAUUGUGUGACUUUUGCUAAUAUUUUACUGGAAGUUAACUGCUUAUCCUUUGUCUGAGGGAAUUGAAUGAUCCACAGCCAUUCAGAGGCGCGAGGAGUGCCCAGUUAUAGUGAUGCAAACACUAUGAUGACAUUUCCUUCAAAGAAAUCUGUAAGUCUGUUUCUGUUUAAUUCUAUCAGCUAUUUUCGGUAAUAUUACGACUUAAACAUUUAGAUAUUUAUUGCAUGUGCCAUAAAUAUAUAUUGGUUGAAUUUCUGAACCUAAACUUGUGGUCAAGUGCUAAAAUCAAUAGGAUAUUAUUGACAUGAUGGCUGCAGAACUAUCUAUGAUAUACCAACAGGUCUGACUUUUGAAAGGAGAUAUGAACAUGUCCUCAGAAUAUUUUACAAGCAGAGAAAUUCAUAUAAAUACAAGGGAGUCCUUGCCCUCCCCUUUAUUGUAUAAAAAUGGAAUUAGCAAAUGAAGUACUUUUAUACGUAAUACAUUUGUAACAUAUAAAUGUAUAUAUAAUGCUACUAGGUUUUUCUAAGCACCAAGCAUGACAGCCAGCUGCA
This 844-nucleotide long non-coding RNA is filed under the name Sus scrofa (pig). RNAcentral's name for it is "lncRNA (ENSSSCG00030028623.1)". The record is from RNAcentral. Lineage: Eukaryota; Metazoa; Chordata; Mammalia; Artiodactyla; Suidae.